AGGGAUUUAGCUCAGCGGCAUAAGUACCUGCCUUGCAAGCAGGAGGUCGUGAGUUCAAUCCCCA
This 64-nucleotide transfer RNA is filed under the name Cavia porcellus (domestic guinea pig). It matches the Rfam family "tRNA", at positions 1 to 62 of the family's 71-position model. From Rfam's summary of the family: Transfer RNA (tRNA) molecules are approximately 80 nucleotides in length. Lineage: Eukaryota; Metazoa; Chordata; Mammalia; Rodentia; Caviidae. The record is from Rfam by way of RNAcentral.